CCCCCCUCACGCGCCUCGUUGCGCGCUGGUGUUGGGGCUCCUCCGCCUGGCGGAGGGCCCCUAAAGCGAGUGGCGGGCCCGUCUGGCGGCUCCGAGCGCAGUACCGAACGCAAGUUCUCUCCUCGCCCGGACGCCCCUUCGGCGCCUUGCCAGUCUAAAUCGCGCAUGACGUGCAACUCUUUUACAA
This 187-nucleotide unclassified non-coding RNA is filed under the name uncultured Sporothrix. RNAcentral's name for it is "sequence contains ITS2". Lineage: Eukaryota; Fungi; Ascomycota; Sordariomycetes; Ophiostomatales; Ophiostomataceae. RNAcentral also lists the same sequence under 1 other name. The record is from RNAcentral.